This 489-nucleotide long non-coding RNA is filed under the name Anas platyrhynchos platyrhynchos (common mallard). RNAcentral describes it as "lncRNA (ENSAPLG00000021944.1)". Lineage: Eukaryota; Metazoa; Chordata; Aves; Anseriformes; Anatidae. The record is from RNAcentral.
UGAGAAACCGAUCCUUUAUUUUGGUGCCAAGCAUUUUACUCAUGACCAUAUCACCAUGUUCAUGUGACUGGAACACAAAACUUUUGCAAAUCAGGAAACAGCAGAGAAAAUAAUCUUCUUCCAUUAUGAUUCCAUCUUCAUCCACAAGAUCCCAAAUUACCUGUGACCCCAGCCAAAAUUGUAGGCAUGUGUGUGUCUGGUCAUGCACACUGUUGAUCCAGACUCUGGCUUGCUGAGUUGACUUCCUAGCAUGACUUUGGACCUUGCAGCUAUGGACUUGCUCAAUGCUCACUGCUGUGAUCCUUUAGGACUGUCUAAAUCUCUUCUCUACAACACCAUCCUCCUGCAAAUGCCUCAGUGCAAUCGUUAGCAGCAUGCUGACAAGUGGAGAAAAUGUCUUUUGUCUUGCAGGAUGAACACUACCUGUCAACAGUAUUUUUACAUUUUUGUCAGUUUCCUAUGAAAAUAUCUCCACUUGCACUGUUUGAU